Molecule: ribosomal RNA, 259 nt
Filed under: uncultured bacterium
Lineage: Bacteria
Description: partial 16S ribosomal RNA
Rfam family: Bacterial small subunit ribosomal RNA
Source: RNAcentral
GACGUAGGGCGCGAGCGUUUGUCCGGAAUUAUUGGGCGUAAAGAGCUCGUAGGCGGUUUGUUGCGUCGGCUGUGAAAUCCCGAGGCUCAACCUCGGGUCUGCAGUCGAUACGAGCAAAACUAGAGUGUUGCAGGGGAGACUGGAAUUCCUGGUGUAGCGGUGAAAUGCGCAGAUAUCAGGAGGAACACCGGUGGCGAAGGCGGCAUCCUGGACCGACACUGACGCUGAGGAGCGAAAGCCCAGGGGGAGCAAAACGGGG